Molecule: ribosomal RNA, 253 nt
Filed under: uncultured bacterium
Lineage: Bacteria
Description: partial 16S ribosomal RNA
Rfam family: Bacterial small subunit ribosomal RNA
Source: RNAcentral
UACGUAGGGUGCAAGCGUUGUCCGGAAUUAUUGGGCGUAAAGAGCUCGUAGGCGGUUUGUCGCGUCUGCUGUGAAAUCCGGAGGCUCAACCUCCGGCCUGCAGUGGGUACGGGCAGACUAGAGUGCGGUAGGGGAGAAUGGAAUUCCUGGUGUAGCGGUGGAAUGCGCAGAUAUCAGGAGGAACACCGAUGGCGAAGGCAGUUCUCUGGGCCGUAACUGACGCUGAGGAGCGAAAGCGUGGGGAGCGAACAGG